Long non-coding RNA from Octodon degus (degu), 174 nucleotides. RefSeq lists it as uncharacterized. The record is from RefSeq and is a predicted model, not a curated record. The transcript has 3 exons. Lineage: Eukaryota; Metazoa; Chordata; Mammalia; Rodentia; Octodontidae.
UCUUCCUCCAAUUGGCUCUCGACUUUAACGCCAUCUUCUUAGGAACCUCUGCGCCCUGAGAGCCAAGUGGAGGAAGAAGCGAAUGCGCAGGCUGAAGCGUAAAAGAAUAAAGAUGAGACACAGGUCCAAGUAAAAUAGCUCGUACACCCAUGGAGGCCAAAGGAGCAGAAAGAA